Arvicola amphibius (Eurasian water vole) is the source of this 163-nucleotide small nuclear RNA. RefSeq annotates it as U1 spliceosomal RNA. The transcript has a single exon. The record is from RefSeq and is a predicted model, not a curated record. NCBI's taxonomy places the organism in Eukaryota, Metazoa, Chordata, Mammalia, Rodentia, Cricetidae.
GUACUUACGUGGCAGGGGAGACACCAUGAUCACGAAGGAGUUUUUCCCAGGGCGAGGCUUAUCCAUUGCACUCUGGAUGUGUUGACCCCUGCGACUUCCCCAAAUGCGGGGAAACUCAGACUACAUAAUUGUGGCAGUAGCGGACUGUGCUCAUGCUCCCCUG